RNAcentral lists this long non-coding RNA (902 nucleotides) under Hordeum vulgare. RNAcentral describes it as "long non-coding RNA (HVUL_LNC003658)". Lineage: Eukaryota; Viridiplantae; Streptophyta; Magnoliopsida; Poales; Poaceae. The record is from RNAcentral.
ACGUACGUGAGCAAACCAUGUGGUGUUGUUUGGGCAUGCUUCUUUGGAGUAGAGUUCUUUUGUAGUUAAACAUGGAUUGCUGACUUAAUAUUUAGCAUAGCUGUAUUGGAGUUGGACCCUCAACUUGUCACUCCAAUCAUCUAUGAAGAUACUCCCAUAGGUGAGGCAAAGUACCCCUAUUCUCCCUCAAUUUAUUCGCUGAUUGAUAUGUAUACAGUUAAUUAGAAUGGUCAUGCACUCAAGCAGUGCAUGAGUGCAGACAACUGCUUCACGCUUCAACUAAAAUUCCAAGAAUUUGUUGUGUGGUUUCAACUAACUUUUUUAUUCAGGAAAAGUUUGAUCAACUAAAUGAUUUUUUGUUCUUUACUGUUAGUGAGAAAGGUUGAUACCAUGUUGUUUGUUUUGCAACAUAGGGAAGUUCUUUAGUAGGACAUGAUUCAGUUUUCUCAUCUGAAUCUGCACUCUAAGUUAGCUCUCAACACCUCAGAGUCCUGAUAGAGGUAUACUACGUCACAUCAAAAUUUUCUAUGCAAGCAGGCGCUAGAGUCAUGGGCUUCUUAUGAUCUACUAAUUAGGUUUCUGCAUAAAAUUGCUAUCUCUUUGGCUAGCGCUGAUAGAAGACGUAUGUUGGUUCAGCAAUGCCAAAAUUGCAUAGUUGGAUGAUGUUUAGGAUUGUCCCAGUUGUAUCAUUCUGCUCGCAUAACUUAGUGUUAAAUGUGCGACACUUAUUUUGGGACGGAGGAGUAUUUCUUAGUAACAAAUUUAUAUUAGGUCUGCAAACUAAUUACUAUUGCAACUAUGCAACCAGCAGCACACCCUAUCACCUUAAAUCACAAGCGAUGAAGCAGAAUCGAUGUGAGCUAACAUAAGCAACUGUUGCAGACUUGGCUGGGCUAGACCCC